GAGUUUGCCUGAGGUACCAUCAUCACAGUCCCAUCCUUGAGCCCUCUGAAAGAGCUGCUCUUUCUCAUCCCAUUCCUCUCUAGGAAGAAGAUCCUCCUGCAGAAGAAUGGAGUUGUGGGCAGCAGUGGAUUCAGUAUUCAAGGCACUGGGUAGAACUGCUCCUGAGAUAGACUGCAUGUGGGAGUGUUCCCCUUUGCACCCACAGGGGAUUUCUGGGCUGCAGGAGAUUGCUGCACUGGUGUUGAAGACCUUAAGGCUGCUUUGCAGGUUUCCUCACUGGAUCUGGGGUUGUUUUCUGGGGCCAGAGUCAAAUCCAUGAAACUUAAGGAAUUCCUCUUCUGGAGCUGUAUGGACACAUGUAACUUGAGUGCAUGUCCGCUCAUAAAUACCAGUACGUAUGUUCCUAGUUGCUGACACUGUGUCCUUAAUUUCCUCAUACUUCUCCCAGCUCCCUGGCUCAUCAUAUUCUUGCCUCUGCUUUAAUUUCCUUCCCCUUCUCUUGUCUUAGUGAUGACAGGUCAGAAAUCUGGAUGGAGCAGAAGCACAGGACUCUUGAAGGACUCCAGUAAAAAAUGUCAUGACUCUUUUGGAUCUGCUGAGGCUCAGCAGAUGUGAGGGAGAGUCCCCAUGGGAGCAUAUGCAAAAACUCUACACUAGUUUCCUGUUCCCUCCCUAGGCUUCUUCAUGGGAAUCCAGGCUCCUGGGUCUUGCUCAGUGAAUGUAUGAAGAAAAUUCAACAGUGACUUCAACAGUCCUGAGGUUACCUAAGGGAGGGGUCAGCAACAGUGUUAAGAAGAUAUAGAACAGGUGUUCCUUACCCCUGUGCCUGUUUGCCCAC
This 838-nucleotide long non-coding RNA is filed under the name Crocodylus porosus (Australian saltwater crocodile). RNAcentral describes it as "lncRNA (ENSCPRG00005004788.1)". The record is from RNAcentral. Lineage: Eukaryota; Metazoa; Chordata; Crocodylia; Crocodylidae.